UACAGAGGUCUCAAGCGUUGUUCGGAUUCAUUGGGCGUAAGGGGUGCGUAGGCGGCGCGGUAAGUCGGGUGUGAAAUCUUGGAGCUUAACUCCGAAACUGCAUUCGAUACUGCCGUGCUUGAGGACUGGAGAGGAGACUGGAAUUUACGGCGUAGCGGUGAAAUGCGUAGAUAUCGUAAGGAAGACCAGUGGCGAAGGCGGGUCUCUGGACAGUUCCUGACGCUGAGGCACGAAGGCCAGGGGAGCAAACGGG
RNAcentral lists this ribosomal RNA (253 nucleotides) under uncultured bacterium. Its description in RNAcentral is "partial 16S ribosomal RNA". It matches the Rfam family "Bacterial small subunit ribosomal RNA", at positions 524 to 776 of the family's 1533-position model. The record is from RNAcentral.